UUUGGGGCUAUGGUAAGGUUUAAGUUUUUGGCGUUAGGGUUAAAAUCACUGUCCAAAACCUUUGUAGGAACUCUUUUCCAACCUUUUGGAGUUAGUUAGACCAAAAAAUAUGAAAAAAGAAAAAAAUAUUAUUGGGGGUUUUCGGGCUUCCUGAAAGUAAUACCCGGGUAUUAGGUUUUGGGGCUAUGGUAAGGUUUAAAGUUUUUGGCGUUAGGGUUAAAAUCACUGUCCAAAACCUUUGUAGGAACUCUUUUCCAACCUUUUGGAGUUAGUUAGACCAAAAAAAAAAGAAAAAUGAAAAAAAAAUAUUUGGGGUGUUCAGGCUUCCUAAAAGUAAUACCCGGGUAUUAGGUUAUGGGGCUAUGGUAAGGUUUAACGUUUUGGCGUUAGGUUUAAAAUCACUGUCCAAAACCUUUGUAGGAACUCUUUUCCAACCUUUUGGAGUUAGUUAGACCAAAAAAAAAUGAAAAAUUAAAAAAUAUAUAUUUGGGGUGUUCAGGCUUCCUAAAAGUAAUACCCGGGUAUUAGGUUAUGGGGCUAUGGUAAGGUUUAACGUUUUGGCGUUAGGUUUAAAAUCACUGUCCAAAACCUUUGUAGGAACUCUUUUUCAACCUUUUGGAGUUGGUUACACCAAAAAAAAUGUAAAAUGAAAAAAAAAUAUUUGGGGUGUUCGGGCUUCCUGAAUGUAAUACCCGGGUAUUAGAUUUUAAGGCCAGGGUAAGGUUUAAGUUUUUUGGCAUUAGUGUUAAAAUCACUGUCCAAAACCUUUGUAGGAACUCUUUUCCAACCUUUUGGAGUUGGUUACACCAAAAAAAAUGUAAAAAAAAAAAAAAUAUUUGGGGUGUUCGGGCUUCCUGAAAGUAAUACCCAGGUAUUAGGAGGUUUUGGGGCUAUGGUAAGGUUUAAGUUUUUUGGCGUUAGGGUUAAAAUCACUGUCCAAAACCUUUGUAGGAACUCUUUUCCAACCUUUUGGAGUUAGUUAGACCAAAAAAAAAGAAAAAUGAAAAAAAAAUAUUUGGGGUGUUCAGGCUUCCUAAAAGUAAUACCCGGGUAUUAGGUUAUGGGGCUAUGGUAAGGUUUAACGUUUUUGGCGUUAGGGUUAAAAUCACUGUCCAAAACCUUUGUAGGAACUCUUUUCCAACCUUUUGGAUUUAGUUAGACCAAAAAAAAUGAAAAAUUAAAAAAAAUAUAUUUGGGGUGUUCAGGCUUUCUAAAAGUAAUACCCGGGUAUUAGGUUAUGGGGCUAUGGUAAGGUUUAAGGUUUUUGGCGUUAGGGUUAAAAUCACUGUCCAAAACCUUUGUAGGAACUCUUUUUCCAACCUUUUGGAGUUAGUUAGACCAAAAAAAAAAAAUGAAAAAUGAAAAAAAAUAUAUUUGGGGUUUACGGGCUUCCUGAAUGUAAUACCCGGGUAUUAGAUUUUAAGGCCAGGGAAAGGUUUAAGUUUUUUGGCGUUAGGGUUAAAAUCACUGUCCAAAACCUUUGUAGGAACUCUUUUCCAACCUUUUGGAGUUAGUUAGACCAAAAAAUAUG
Molecule: non-coding RNA, 1531 nt
Organism: Xyrichtys novacula (pearly razorfish)
Lineage: Eukaryota; Metazoa; Chordata; Actinopteri; Labriformes; Labridae
Source: the annotation of a GenBank genome assembly